Molecule: long non-coding RNA, 794 nt
Organism: Homo sapiens (human)
Lineage: Eukaryota; Metazoa; Chordata; Mammalia; Primates; Hominidae
Exons: 3
Source: RefSeq, a predicted model, not a curated record
UUUUUUUUUUUUUUUUUUUUUUUUUUUUGAGAUGGAGUUUCUCCCUUGUUGCCCAGGCCGGAGUGCAGUGGCAUGAUCUCAGCUCACCGCAACAUCUGCCUCCCAAGUUCAAGCGAUUCUCCUGCUUCAGCCUCCCAAGUAACUGGGAUUACAGGCAUGCGCCACCAUGCCGGGCUAAUUUUUGUAUCUUUAGCAGAGACAGGGUUUCUCCAUGUUGGUCAGGCUGGUCUCGAAUUCCCGACCUCAGGUGAUCCGCCCACCUGGGCCUCCCAAAGGUAGCUCACUUCUUUUUACCCAUUACAUGGAUAUACCAUAUUUUGUUUAUCCAUUGGCCUGUUGAAGGACAUCUUGGUUGCUUCCAGCUUUAGGCAAUGGUGAAUCAUGUGGUUAUAACAUUCAUGUGGAGUGUUGGAUGUUCUAUUGUGAGAAGGCGAUGCAUGGAACCAAGGCAGCCAUCUUUUUAUCAUGGGGUGAAAAUCUGAGGAUGAAAAGUGAAUAUGCGAAGGAUGCAGAGUGGAAGGAAAGGAAGAACUACAUCCUUGAGGACACGUGGGAGCCAGUGGGCCAAUCCCAGGAUUCCUUGUCAGCUGAACCAUAUCCUGGAAUCCUCCCAGAUACAUCAUCAACGAAAACCCCUGGAUUUCCUUGUGGAUAGCCAAAUCUCUGCCAACUUGUAUAUGAGCAACUUAGGGUCUAGGUGCCUAUUUGGGGUCAAUUAUCACCUCCAGCUUGAUACAACUAAGAGCCAUAAAAGAACAAGAAACAAACUUUUGUUGUGAUGAGCCCAUGAGAUG